This 387-nucleotide ribosomal RNA is filed under the name Prasinoderma sp. RNAcentral's name for it is "partial small subunit ribosomal RNA". It matches the Rfam family "Eukaryotic small subunit ribosomal RNA", at positions 582 to 975 of the family's 1831-position model. The record is from RNAcentral. Lineage: Eukaryota; Viridiplantae; Prasinodermophyta; Prasinodermophyceae; Prasinodermales; Prasinodermaceae.
AUUCCAGCUCCAAUAGCGUAUAUUUAAGUUGUUGCAGUUAAAAAGCUCGUAGUUGGAUUUUGGGUCGGGGGUACCGGUCCGGUGUUUCACUGUGCACUGGUCUCCCCUUCCUUUCUGCCGGGGACGGCGUUUGCUCUUUACUGAGCGGCGUCGGAGUCGGCGUUGUUACUUUGAAAAAAUUAGAGUGUUCAAAGCAAGCCAUCGCUCUGAAUACAUUAGCAUGGAAUAACAUGAUAGGACUCUGGUCUUAUUUUGUUGGUUUCCGAGACUGGAGUAAUGAUUAAGAGGGACAGUCGGGGGCAUCCGUAUUUCAUUGUCAGAGGUGAAAUUCUUGGAUUUAUGAAAGACGAACUUCUGCGAAAGCAUUUGCCAAGGAUGUUUUCAUCA